UACGUAGGGAGCAAGCGUUGUCCGGAAUCAUUGGGCGAUAAAGCGCGCGUAGGCGGCCCUGUAAGUCCGUUGUGAAAGUCAAAGGCUCAACCUUUGAAAGCCGAUGGAUACUGCAGGCUGGAGUCCGGAAGAGGCGAGUGGAAUUCCUGGUGUAGCGGUGGAAUGCGCAGAUAUCAAGGAGGAACACCAAUAGCGAAGGCAGCUCGCUGGGACGGUACUGACGCUGAGGCGCGAAAGCGUGGGGAGCGAACAGGAUUAGACAUACCCGUGUA
RNAcentral lists this ribosomal RNA (272 nucleotides) under uncultured bacterium. RNAcentral's name for it is "partial 16S ribosomal RNA". It matches the Rfam family "Bacterial small subunit ribosomal RNA", at positions 524 to 792 of the family's 1533-position model. The record is from RNAcentral.